ACGAGAAAGCUUUCUUCGGAAAGUGAGUACAGUGGCGAACGGGUGAGUAACACGUGGGUAAUCUGCCCUUAGGUUGGGAACAACACUUCUAACGAGGUGCUAAUACCGAAUAACAAAGCCGAUUGCAAAAUCAGCUUUUAAAGGUGGCCUCUACUUGUAAGCUGCCGCCUGAGGAUGAGCCCGCGCCGUAUUAGCUUGUUGGUGGGGUAAUGGCCUACCAAGGCAACGAUGCGUAGCCGGCCUGAGAGGGUGAACGGCCACACUGGAACUGAGACAAGGUCCAGUCUCCUACGGGAGCCAGCAGUCUAGAAAUUUGCACAAUCGUCGAAAGACGGAUGCAGCGACACCACGUGGAGGAUGAAGCCCUUCGGGGUGUAAACUCCUGUCAGUUGGGAAGAAGGCGCGAGUGUUAAUACCACUUGUUGCUUGACGGUACCUUCAGAGGAAGCUCCGGCUAACUACGUGCCAGCAGCCGCGGUAAUACGUAGGGAGCGAGCGUUGUUCGGAUUUACUGGGCGUAAAGAGCACGUAGGCGGGCAUGCAAGUCGGUUGUGAAAUCCUCUGGCUCAACCAGAGAACUGCAAUCGAAACUGCAUGCCUUGAGUCCAGCAGAGGAAAUCGGAAUCUUAGGUGUAGCGGUGAAAUGCGUAGAUAUCUAAGAGAACAUCAGUGGCGAAGGCGGAUUUCUGGGCUGGCACUGACGCUGAGGUGCGAAAGCUGAGGUAGCGAACAGGAUUAGAUACCCUGGUAGUCUCAGCCGUAAACGAUGGGUACUAGGUGUUGGGGGACAUUGACCCCCUCAGUGCCGUAGCUAACGCAUUAAGUACCC
Molecule: ribosomal RNA, 829 nt
Filed under: uncultured bacterium
Lineage: Bacteria
Description: bacterial SSU rRNA
Rfam family: Bacterial small subunit ribosomal RNA
Source: RNAcentral